This is a long non-coding RNA of Acanthopagrus latus (yellowfin seabream), 384 nucleotides long. RefSeq lists it as uncharacterized. The transcript is spliced from 3 exons. The record is from RefSeq and is a predicted model, not a curated record. NCBI's taxonomy places the organism in Eukaryota, Metazoa, Chordata, Actinopteri, Spariformes, Sparidae.
GCCAAAUUCUAUUCAGACUCCCUGUCCUCUUUCUCUCUCUCUCUCUUCAUCCCCUUGUUUCUCUUAAAUCCAUAUGUCCUUCACCGUGUCACUCUAUUAUAUAUCUGCACACACACACACACACACCUCUCUCUCAGGUACAGCAGUGGCGUCUCCAUCACCCCAGAGACUUCUUCAGUGGCAGUGUACUGCUGCAGUGGUGCGCAGGAAUGAGGACAGCUGGUGCUGAGAGGGCCGGGCGUGACUUUCCCAUGACUUCCUGGACAACUAUGAAAUGUAUUCGAGACUGUAACAUCAACCUGGAGCUGAAGAUGGAAAAAAGCCUUUUGGUUAAAUCUGACACUUCUCCACCAUGGACAUAAAAGAAUAAAGAAAGAUGUAGCA